Molecule: ribosomal RNA, 253 nt
Filed under: uncultured bacterium
Lineage: Bacteria
Description: partial 16S ribosomal RNA
Rfam family: Bacterial small subunit ribosomal RNA
Source: RNAcentral
UACGUAGGGUGCAAGCGUUGUCCGGAAUUAUUGGGCGUAAAGAGCUCGUAGGCGGUUUGUCGCGUCUGCUGUGAAAACCCGAGGCUCAACCUCGGGCCUGCAGUGGGUACGGGCAGACUAGAGUGCGGUAGGGGAGACUGGAAUUCCUGGUGUAGCGGUGAAAUGCGCAGAUAUCAGGAGGAACACCGGUGGCGAAGGCGGGUCUCUGGGCCGAUACUGACGUGGAGGAGCGAAAGCGUGGGGAGCGAACAGG